CUCUGGUGAUUAGUGCAGUUCAGCACCUUUUCAGAUUCCUGUUGGCCAUUUAUGGAGUCUCACUCUGUAGCCCAAGCUGGAGUGGCGUGAUCUCGACUCACUGCAACCUCCGCCUCCUGGGCUCAAGUGAUUCUCGUGCCUCAGCCUCCUGAGUAGCUGGGACUACAGUUGUCCCUUCACGUGGGAUUGCUUCCAGUACCUCUGUGUAUAACAAAAGCUGCACCAUUCAAGUCCCACAGUUGCUCUGCGAAACCUCUGUAUAUGAAAAGUUGGCCCUCCAUGUACAUGGGUUUCCCAUCCUGUCAUAGAAUUUUCCACACUCCUUGACGGAGGUUCUUAACCCUUAUCCAUCAGCAUUCUCAGACAGCACCUCCGGUUAGGGACAGUAUCUGACCGUCCGACAUCCCUGCAGCCCCCAUGCUGUCACACAGACUCAGCCUCAGGUAGAUGGUUUCCGUAGAUGGUGGCUUUCUUUGGACCCUUGAUAUCAACCAGUUACUAUUUGACUCUUCUGCAGAACCCCAUGUUGACCCCUGCUUUGAGGUGGCAGCGUUAACACUACUCUUUGUUAUAAGCUCUCGUCUGGGGCAACUCAGGAGAACA
Molecule: non-coding RNA, 603 nt
Filed under: Pongo abelii (Sumatran orangutan)
Lineage: Eukaryota; Metazoa; Chordata; Mammalia; Primates; Hominidae
Source: RNAcentral